RNAcentral lists this ribosomal RNA (429 nucleotides) under Fusobacteriota bacterium. RNAcentral's name for it is "Fusobacteria bacterium partial 16S ribosomal RNA". It matches the Rfam family "Bacterial small subunit ribosomal RNA", at positions 355 to 776 of the family's 1533-position model. The record is from RNAcentral. Lineage: Bacteria; Fusobacteriati; Fusobacteriota.
UGGGGAAUCUUCCGCAAUGGACGAAAGUCUGACGGAGCAACGCCGCGUGAGUGAAGACGGCCUUCGGGUUGUAAAGCUCUGUGAUCCGGGACGAAAGAGCCUGAGGUGAAUAGCCUAAGGAAGUGACGGUACCGGAAAAGCAAGCCACGGCUAACUACGUGCCAGCAGCCGCGGUAAUACGUAGGUGGCAAGCGUUGUCCGGAAUUAUUGGGCGUAAAGCGCGCGCAGGCGGCUUCCUAAGUCCAUCUUAAAAGUGCGGGGCUUAACCCCGUGAUGGGAUGGAAACUGGGAAGCUGGAGUGUCGGAGAGGAAAGUGGAAUUCCUAGUGUAGCGGUGAAAUGCGUAGAGAUUAGGAAGAACACCGGUGGCGAAGGGGACUUUCUGGACGAAAACUGACGCUGAGGCGCGAAAGCGUGGGGAGCAAACAGG